Molecule: ribosomal RNA, 1846 nt
Filed under: metagenome
Description: bacterial LSU rRNA
Rfam family: Bacterial large subunit ribosomal RNA
Source: RNAcentral
AACCAGGAGGUUGGCUUAGAAGCAGCCAUCCUUUAAAGAAAGCGUAACAGCUCACUGGUCUAGCGAUUCUGCGCCGAAAAUAUAACGGGGCUAAGACAAGCACCGAAGCUUUAGAUUUGGAUUUAUCCAAGUGGUAGGAGAGCGUUCCAUUCAGCGUUGAAGGUACACCGGUAAGGAGUGCUGGAGCGGAUGGAAGUGAGCAUGCAGGCAUGAGUAGCGAGAAAAGGGAUGAGAAUUCCCUUCGCCGUAAACCCAAGGUUUCCUACGCGAUGCUCGUCAUCGUAGGGUUAGUCGGGACCUAAGUCGAGUCCGAAAGGGGUAGACGAUGGCAAAUAGGUUAAUAUUCCUAUACCGACAUUACAUCAUUUGAGUGAUGGGGGGACGCAUAGAGUUAGACGAGGUCACUGAUGGAAUAGUGGCUCGAAGGACGUAGGUCGUGAAGUAGGCAAAUCCGCUUCACACGAGACCGAGAUCUUACAGGCAGACCAAUCACUUCGGUGAGCGGUUUGAAUCGUCGAUACUGUCGUGCCGAGAAAAGCCUCUAAACGAGAUGUAAUGUUGCCCGUACCGUAAACCAACACAGGUGGGUGAGAUGAGUAUUCUAAGGCGCGUGGAUGAACCAUUGUUAAGGAACUCUGCAAAAUAGCACCGUAUCUUCGGUAUAAGGUGUGCCCUUUAUGUUAAGAGAUUUACUCUCGAAAGCAUUCUAGGGUCGCAGCAAAGUGUCCCUCCCGACUGUUUACCAAAAACACAGCACUCUGCUAACUCGUAAGAGGAUGUAUAGGGUGUGACGCCUGCCCGGUGCUUGAAUGUUAAAAGGAUUGCUUAGCUUUGCGAAGGCAUGAAUUGAAGCACAAGUAAACGGCGGCCGUAACUAUAACGGUCCUAAGGUAGCGAAAUUCCUUGUCGGUUAAAUACCGACCUGCAUGAAUGGCGUAACGAGAUGGGAGCUGUCUCAACCAGGGAUCCAGUGAAAUUGUAGUGGAGGUGAAAAUUCCUCCUACCCGCGGAAAGACGGAAAGACCCCGUGCACCUUUACUAUAGCUUGACACUGCUAUUGGGAUAUUCAUGUGCAGGAUAGGUGGGAGCCAUUGAUUCAUAGUCGCCAGAUUAUGAUGAGGCAUCCUUGAGAUACCACCCUUGAAUAUUCUGAUAGCUAACUCCGUACAAUUAUCUUGUGCGAGGACAAUGUCUGGUGGGUAGUUUGACUGGGGCGGUCGCCUCCUAAAAAGUAACGGAGGCUUACAAAGGUUAGCUCAGGUGGGUUGGAAAUCCACCGUAGAGUAUAAUGGCAUAAGCUAGCCUGACUGUGAGACAUACAAGUCGAGCAGAGUCGAAAGACGGUCAUAGUGAUCCGGUGGUUCUGUGUGGAAGGGCCAUCGCUCAAAGGAUAAAAGGUACGCCGGGGAUAACAGGCUGAUCUCCCCCAAGAGCUCACAUCGACGGGGAGGUUUGGCACCUCGAUGUCGGCUCAUCGCAUCCUGGGGCUGAAGCAGGUCCCAAGGGUUGGGCUGUUCGCCCAUUAAAGCGGUACGCGAGCUGGGUUCAGAACGUCGUGAGACAGUUCGGUCCCUAUCUUCCGUGGGCGUAGGAUUGUUGAGGAGAGUUGACCCUAGUACGAGAGGACCGGGUUGAACGUGCCACUGGUGCACCAGUUGUUCUGCCAAGAGCAUCGCUGGGUAGCUACGCACGGAUGAGAUAACCGCUGAAAGCAUCUAAGCGGGAAGCCAACUCCAAGAUGAACAAUCCCUGAAGUACGCUUGAAGACUACAAGCUUGAUAGGCUGGAUGUGUACGCAGAGUAAUCUGUUUAGCUGACCAGUACUAAUAGUACGUUCGUCUUUUUU